GCCUGAUUGAAGAUGUCUGUGAGCAGUAAUUACUGAGGAGGAAUUGUGGCUGAGGGCUGGGCAGAAACACCUGGGGUUCAUCUGGAGCUGAGGGACAUUUGUCACCUAUUGUGGAGAAGGUCUGUCCUCCCCAAGAUACAGUGUCACUUCCAUGAGCCCUGGGAUUGUGCCACAGUGAGUACAAAAG
RNAcentral lists this long non-coding RNA (187 nucleotides) under Chloebia gouldiae (Gouldian finch). Its description in RNAcentral is "Erythrura gouldiae (Gouldian finch) lncRNA (ENSEGOG00005019601.1)". The record is from RNAcentral. Lineage: Eukaryota; Metazoa; Chordata; Aves; Passeriformes; Passeridae.